Molecule: non-coding RNA, 47 nt
Organism: Buceros rhinoceros silvestris
Lineage: Eukaryota; Metazoa; Chordata; Aves; Bucerotiformes; Bucerotidae
Source: Rfam
CACAAGGUUCUUCUCAGAACCACCUCUUGGUGAGGUUGAAACUCAGG